Molossus molossus (Pallas's mastiff bat) is the source of this 386-nucleotide long non-coding RNA. RefSeq lists it as uncharacterized. The record is from RefSeq and is a predicted model, not a curated record. The transcript has 4 exons. Lineage: Eukaryota; Metazoa; Chordata; Mammalia; Chiroptera; Molossidae.
GGUUGAUGCAAUGAUCUUAGAAACUUCUGAGGACAGAAAAGCAGCUUUUCUGGAUUUGGAAGCAGGUCUUUCAUCGGAAAAAUCUGUAUGAAGUAUGACCGGAUAUUACAGAAAAGAAAUCUUUAUCAUUUGUCUACAACUUAAUAAGGACCCCACACCACCAUACAGUGGGCCUGCUUAUAUGGACAGAUUAACAACAUGUCUUCUCUUACCAUGACAACACCCAGCUAAUGUUUACUGAUAAACCAGUAGCAAGUCAGAACAUCUACAAGAUGCAAGAGGAAUUCACAGCCCUAAAAUUCCAGCAAAAGCAGAAAAGGACUUUCUUCCAACAAAACAGUUACUGUCUUUCUAGCUCUGUAGACAUCAGCAGAAGGGAACAAUGU